UACGUAGGUGGCGAGCGUUGUCCGGAUUUACUGGGUGUAAAGGGCGUGUAGGCGGGGAGUUAAGUCAGAUGUGAAAGCCCAUGGCUCAACUGUGGGACUGCAUCUGAGACUGAUUCUCUUGAGUGCUGGAGAGGAAAGCGGAAUUCCUAGUGUAGCGGUGAAAUGCGUAGAUAUUAGGAGGAACACCAGUGGCGAAGGCGGCUUUCUGGACAGUAACUGACGCUGAGGCGCGAAAGCGUGGGGAGCAAACAGG
Molecule: ribosomal RNA, 253 nt
Filed under: uncultured bacterium
Lineage: Bacteria
Description: partial 16S ribosomal RNA
Rfam family: Bacterial small subunit ribosomal RNA
Source: RNAcentral